This 119-nucleotide ribosomal RNA is filed under the name Polistes fuscatus (common paper wasp). The record is from RNAcentral. Lineage: Eukaryota; Metazoa; Arthropoda; Insecta; Hymenoptera; Vespidae.
GUCAACGGCCAUACCGCGAUGAAAAGUACUAGUUCUCGUCCGAUCACUAAAGUCAAGCAUCGCUGGGCACGGUUAGUACUUGGAUGGGUGACCGCUUGGGAACACGUGUGCUGUUGACA